CUACUGAUUUAUGAGUAUCUACCUAACAAGAGCUUAGAUGCCACAAUUUUUGAUGAUUCAAGAAAAUUGUUGUUGGAUUGGACACUACGGUUUAAUAUAAUAAAAGGAGUCGCUAAGGGACUUCUCUACCUCCUCCAAGAUUCAAGACUGACGAUAAUUCAUAGAGAUCUUAAAGCUGGAAAUGUUUUGCUAGAUGCAGAGAUGAAGCCUAAGAUAGCAGACUUUGGUAUGGCUAGGAUCUUUGUUGAUAACCAAGAAAGUGCAAAUACCCAGCGUGUUGUCGGAACAUCUGGAUACAUGGCUCCUGAGUAUGCAAUGGAAGGCGUCUUCUCUACGAAAUCCGAUCUCUACAGCUUUGGCGUGCUACUACUAGAGGUUGUGACUGGUAUAAGGAGAAGCUCAAAUAGUCAAACUAUGGGCUUCCCAAGCCUCACGGUCUAUUCAUGGAAUAUGUGGAACGAAGGAAAGACUGGGGAUUUGCCGGACUCGUCUAUUAUGGGUAAUUCUUCACCAGAUGAAGUUUUGCUUUGCGUUCAUGUAGCACUCUUAUGUGUCCAGGAGAACCCAGAUGACAGACCACAUAUGUCAUCUAUUGUGUUCGUCCUAGAGAAUGGAAGCACUUCACUUCCAACCCCCAAUUGCCCCGCCUACUUUGCGCGACAAGGUGCUCAGAUGGAGCAAAUCAGAAAUGAUAUUCAGACUUCGACAAAUAGUUGUACACUUAGCGAAAUAGAUGGGCGAUGA
Molecule: ribosomal RNA, 744 nt
Filed under: Triticum aestivum (bread wheat)
Lineage: Eukaryota; Viridiplantae; Streptophyta; Magnoliopsida; Poales; Poaceae
Description: partial small subunit ribosomal RNA
Source: RNAcentral